AUCUUUUUAAUACAAUUAGUAUACGAGGCUUCCAACCUCACAACCUUGGUGAAAACCCAAGAAAAGAUA
RNAcentral lists this transfer RNA (69 nucleotides) under Coelorinchus caelorhincus (hollowsnout grenadier). RNAcentral's name for it is "tRNA-Gly". The record is from RNAcentral. Lineage: Eukaryota; Metazoa; Chordata; Actinopteri; Gadiformes; Macrouridae.